Molecule: ribosomal RNA, 508 nt
Filed under: Priestia megaterium
Lineage: Bacteria; Bacillati; Bacillota; Bacilli; Caryophanales; Bacillaceae
Description: bacterial SSU rRNA
Rfam family: Bacterial small subunit ribosomal RNA
Source: RNAcentral
CCUUGAAUUAGAGUCUGACGGAGCACGCCGCGUGAGUGAUGAAGGCUUUCGGGUCGUAAAACUCUGUUGUUAGGGAAGAACAAGUACAAGAGUAACUGCUUGUACCUUGACGGUACCUAACCAGAAAGCCACGGCUAACUACGUGCCAGCAGCCGCGGUAAUACGUAGGUGGCAAGCGUUAUCCGGAAUUAUUGGGCGUAAAGCGCGCGCAGGCGGUUUCUUAAGUCUGAUGUGAAAGCCCACGGCUCAACCGUGGAGGGUCAUUGGAAACUGGGGAACUUGAGUGCAGAAGAGAAAAGCGGAAUUCCACGUGUAGCGGUGAAAUGCGUAGAGAUGUGGAGGAACACCAGUGGCGAAGGCGGCUUUUUGGUCUGUAACUGACGCUGAGGCGCGAAAGCGUGGGGAGCAAACAGGAUUAGAUACCCUGGUAGUCCACGCCGUAAACGAUGAGUGCUAAGUGUUAGAGGGUUUCCGCCCUUUAGUGCUGCAGCUAACGCAUUAAGCACUC